GAACUGCCCAGAAAUGGGGGACAAGGAGGCCAGAGAGUACAGCACCCUUGGGAAGCAAAGAAGAGCAAAGCAAGGUCCGCGAGUGGGUCCAAGGGCAAAAGCAAGUGGCCUGCAUGUCUGUGCAUCUUUGAGGUUCCUGGAAGGCUGAGUGCGGAACUUCCUGAGGCAAAACUCCUGUGGACCCACCAGGAAGCUGGUCUUGAAAGAUGCUGCACCCACCGGACGACUCGUCCACUCACUAGAGACUCACUUUGCCGGAGAAGGGCUCGGGCGUCGUUGGAAGAACCCAAAGCCAGGCAUGAAAGGACCUCAGCCAGGGAGGGCACCGCAUUCACACAAAUGCUGCGUGUUCCCAUGGAAACAGCACAAAACCUGACCGAGGAAAUGAAUGCCGAAUUGGACUGAUUCCCUGUGAAUAAAGGGGAGAAAUGCAAAGCAAUGUAAACAAAGCCAAAAGCAGGAGCAACUCCAGGGCAAACGGAGGCAGAGUCCUCGCGUAUCUGUGAUCAGCACCGGCCCAUCCUGGGUGCAAGAGAGCCCGCUGCCAACUCACCCCCGUCACAGCAGCUGCCUCAGCCUCCCCAGCCAGCUGUCCCUAGCCCUGGCCCUCACCACCCCUGCCAGCCCAUGCCAUCCUCAGUUUCGGGGCUCACUGCGGCUGCCUCUGGGCUUGAGGGAAGGGCAGUGGUGGGCGGGAGAGGCGGGAGGCUCUUCUAUGGUGCCCGUGGAGUUGUUUCCUGUGUGGGGUGCAGGCUGCCCAGCUGUGUUCACUGUGAAAAUC
Molecule: long non-coding RNA, 781 nt
Organism: Pan paniscus (pygmy chimpanzee)
Lineage: Eukaryota; Metazoa; Chordata; Mammalia; Primates; Hominidae
Source: Ensembl